This is a small nucleolar RNA of Acomys russatus (golden spiny mouse), 144 nucleotides long. RefSeq annotates it as small nucleolar RNA SNORA48. NCBI's taxonomy places the organism in Eukaryota, Metazoa, Chordata, Mammalia, Rodentia, Muridae. The transcript has a single exon. The record is from RefSeq and is a predicted model, not a curated record.
UGCCUCAGAGGCUGGCCCAAACAUCACCUUGAUGGUGAUGGUGUUAUUGCAUCAGUCAGGGACAAAGCAGAUGGCAGUCCUUUGUUUAUCCUAGUUCAGUGCCUAGCUUGGUAACCAAAGCUAUUUUAUGCCUAGGACCCAUGA